RNAcentral lists this ribosomal RNA (429 nucleotides) under Fusobacteriota bacterium. RNAcentral's name for it is "Fusobacteria bacterium partial 16S ribosomal RNA". It matches the Rfam family "Bacterial small subunit ribosomal RNA", at positions 355 to 776 of the family's 1533-position model. Lineage: Bacteria; Fusobacteriati; Fusobacteriota. The record is from RNAcentral.
UGGGGAAUAUUGCGCAAUGGGCGAAAGCCUGACGCAGCGACGCCGCGUGAGGGAUGAAGGUUUUCGGAUCGUAAACCUCUGUCAGAAGGGAAGAAACCGCACUGUGCUAAUCAGCAGUGCCUUGACGGUACCUUCAAAGGAAGCACCGGCUAACUCCGUGCCAGCAGCCGCGGUAAUACGGAGGGUGCAAGCGUUAAUCGGAAUUACUGGGCGUAAAGCGCACGUAGGCUGCUUUGUAAGUCAGGGGUGAAAUCCCACGGCUCAACCGUGGAACUGCCUUUGAUACUGCUUAGCUUGAAUCCGGGAGAGGGUGGCGGAAUUCCAGGUGUAGGAGUGAAAUCCGUAGAUAUCUGGAGGAACAUCAGUGGCGAAGGCGGCCACCUGGACCGGUAUUGACGCUGAGGUGCGAAAGCGUGGGUAGCAAACAGG